Molecule: ribosomal RNA, 305 nt
Filed under: uncultured bacterium
Lineage: Bacteria
Description: bacterial SSU rRNA
Rfam family: Bacterial small subunit ribosomal RNA
Source: RNAcentral
UUUUACCUACGGGGCGCAGCAGUGAGGAAUAUUGGUCAAUGGGCGGAAGCCUGAACCAGCCAAGUCGCGUGAGGGAAGAAGGCCCUGCGGGUCGCAGACCUCUUUGGACGGGGAGCAGGGCCGCCGACGUGUCGGCGGAAGGAGAGUACCCGUAGAACAAGCAUCGGCUAACUCCGUGCCAGCAGCCGCGGUAAUACGGAGGAUGCGAGCGUUAUCCGGAAUUACUGGGCGUAAAGGGUGCGUAGGUGGUUUCUUAAGUCAGAGGUGAAAGGCUACGGCUCAACCGUAGUAAGCCUUUGAAACUG